GGGUUGUGAGGUUAAGCGACUAAGCGUACACGGUGGAUGCCCUGGCAGUCAGAGGCGAUGAAGGACGUGCUAAUCUGCGAUAAGCGCCGGUAAGGUGAUAUGAACCGUUAUAACCGGCGAUUUCCGAAUGGGGAAACCCAGUGUGACUCGUCACACUAUCAUUAACUGAAUCCAUAGGUUAAUGAGGCGAACCGGGGGAACUGAAACAUCUAAGUACCCCGAGGAAAAGAAAUCAACCGAGAUUCCCCCAGUAGCGGCGAGCGAACGGGGAGGAGCCCAGAGCCUGAAUCAGCAUGUGUGUUAGUGGAAGCGUCUGGAAAGGCGCGCGAUACAGGGUGACAGCCCCGUACACAAAAGCGCAUGUGUUGUGAGCUCGAUGAGUAGGGCGGGACACGUGGUAUCCUGUCUGAAUAUGGGGGGACCAUCCUCCAAGGCUAAAUACUCCUGACUGACCGAUAGUGAACCAGUACCGUGAGGGAAAGGCGAAAAGAACCCCGGCGAGGGGAGUGAAAAAGAACCUGAAACCGUGUACGUACAAGCAGUGGGAGCACCCUUUGGGGUGUGACUGCGUACCUUUUGUAUAAUGGGUCAGCGACUUAUAUUCUGUAGCAAGGUUAACCGAAUAGGGGAGCCGGAGGGAAACCGAGUCUUAAU
This 654-nucleotide ribosomal RNA is filed under the name Salmonella enterica. RNAcentral describes it as "partial 23S ribosomal RNA". It matches the Rfam family "Bacterial large subunit ribosomal RNA", at positions 1 to 688 of the family's 2925-position model. RNAcentral also lists the same sequence under 1 other name. Lineage: Bacteria; Pseudomonadati; Pseudomonadota; Gammaproteobacteria; Enterobacterales; Enterobacteriaceae. The record is from RNAcentral.